AAUCAAGAAUAUAAUAUAGGGGGAGGUUGUUAACAGAUAUGCAAAUGUCUAGCUGUUGUUAUGUAUAAAAACAUUAGUGAUCAUAUUCGUAUGUCAUUUCUCUUGUCCCAUAAUUCCAUUAAU
RNAcentral lists this small RNA (123 nucleotides) under Arabidopsis thaliana (thale cress). Its description in RNAcentral is "ATSL161080". Lineage: Eukaryota; Viridiplantae; Streptophyta; Magnoliopsida; Brassicales; Brassicaceae. The record is from RNAcentral.